This 490-nucleotide ribosomal RNA is filed under the name uncultured bacterium. RNAcentral describes it as "partial 16S ribosomal RNA". It matches the Rfam family "Bacterial small subunit ribosomal RNA", at positions 29 to 507 of the family's 1533-position model. The record is from RNAcentral.
AUGCACGCUGGCUACAGGCUUAACCCAUGCCAGUCGCGGGGAAACGACGGGGAAGCUUGCUUCCCCGGGCGUCGACCGGCGCACGGGUGAGUAACGCGUAUCCAACCUGCCUCUGACUGAGGGAUAACCCGUCGAAAGUCGGCCUAAUACCUCAUGGCAUCGUCUGCGGGCAUCCAACGACGAUUAAAGAUUUCAUCGGUCAGAGAUGGGGAUGCGUCUGAUUAGCUUGUUGGCGGGGUAACGGCCCACCAAGGCGACGAUCAGUAGGGGUUCUGAGAGGAAGGUCCCCCACAUUGGAACUGAGACACGGUCCAAACUCCUACGGGAGGCAGCAGUGAGGAAUAUUGGUCAAUGGGCGAGAGCCUGAACCAGCCAAGUAGCGUGCAGGAUGACGGCCCUAUGGGUUGUAAACUGCUUUUAUGCGGGGAUAAAGUGAGGGACGUGUCCUUCAUUGCAGGUACCGCAUGAAUAAGGACCGGCUAAUUCCGUG